Molecule: long non-coding RNA, 638 nt
Organism: Polypterus senegalus (gray bichir)
Lineage: Eukaryota; Metazoa; Chordata; Cladistia; Polypteriformes; Polypteridae
Exons: 3
Source: RefSeq, a predicted model, not a curated record
UGACAUCACAAGGUUCCCAAUGGCCCUGGGAGUGCAGAGGAUUUAAUGUCUAUGCGUGAGAAAACACAAAAAAAGCCUAGCCCGAAGGUUUUGGGGUGUCAUCACGGUGGCCAGUGAUUAAUGGCAACAAAAGGUGCAACUCCUAAGUGGUGGGACCACCAUGAUGUCACUGCUGCUCAGGCUGCCCUUUGCCUUUAUAUUUAGGUGAAGCUGGAGGUCCCUGGGGAGUUUCAUUGAGUGUUCAUUAUUUACCAGGCACGCUGGACAUUAGAAGAAGAAGAUGAAGAAGAAGAGGAGAGGAGCAAGUGUGAGAAGAGGCUGACGCUGAAGUCAAAACGAAAGAAAAGAGAAAGGGCCAUCAGACACAAAAAACAAUUCAGGACGAUGAAAAGUAAGCACCGGUCUCACGAAAGUUUGUAUUCAAAAAUUAAGUCUCUAAAGUGAAAGAAAAGGUGAGACGAGCAGUAGCUGAAUGUCUAGGUGAGCGCGAAAAGGAAAUAAGUGAACUGUUGAGGAUGUGAAGAGAACAAAGACAGAAAGAAAUAAAAUGGAAAGGAGGGCUUCAGAGGGUCGAAGACAUGGGGUCAACUCUGGCAAACCGCUGGCGAAUUGGUGCUUCCUGACAGCGUGAGAUGGGA